Chinchilla lanigera (long-tailed chinchilla) is the source of this 4463-nucleotide long non-coding RNA. RefSeq lists it as uncharacterized. The transcript has 3 exons. Lineage: Eukaryota; Metazoa; Chordata; Mammalia; Rodentia; Chinchillidae. The record is from RefSeq and is a predicted model, not a curated record.
GGAGACUUAUCAGGUAGUAAUUAACACAAAAAUAUAAAUUCCUGUGUGGGGGACCACCCCAAGUGUUGCUGUCUCCUCCCUCCUUGGACCCAGCUGCCUCAGGCACGGUCUCAGGACAGCGUCUGCUCCUCCGCAUGGUCCGGGCACCUUGCUCUGGCUCCGAGCGAGUCUCACUGCAUGGCUCUUGCGCGCAUUUAGGGCAGCAGAGCUGAGGUGGCAGGGAGGCUUCAGAUGAGUCUGGGAAAACGGAGUCUGCGCGUCUCACUGGGCUUUCGGGCCAGCAGCGGUGGCCCCUCUGCCACCUGUGAGAAAGUCACUUCUCCUGGCCCAGGACACAGCGGUGAGCGGCCCCGCAGCCCUUGGCGAGAGGUACAGGUCCUCAGCCCCGUGGUUUAUUUCUACCCCCUGCCUCUUCUCACACACGCAGUGGCCCAGCACAGCACCGUGCAGGAAGUCAAAACCCAAAACUAACACAGCAGACUGCGGUAAGUCCCAGCUGGGCGCCCUCAUGAGUGCGCUGCUGUGAAACACGGCCUUCGGUGCUGCAGGCAUUCGUGUCUGCCGGGUAUGUAUUUAUACACCCGGAGAGGAAUUGCUGGGUUACGGGGUGUUUAAAUUUAGCGUUGCUGAACAUUUUCCCAAAAUAAUUGUAUCUGUUUAUACUCCUGCUAGCAACGCACGAGCCCUUCAGCUGUCAGCACCCUGGCCAGUGCUGGGCACCGUCAGUCACGCAAAUUCUGGUCAUUUUCGCACGCGGGUACUGGUAUCUCAGCUUGGUUUUAACUUUCGUUUGUCUGAUAAGCAAUGAUUUUGCCAGCGGAUGGGCACGGGUCUCCCAGGGCUUUCCCCUUUCACAGCCUCGGUAGACUCUGGGGUGUCUGAGCCCUGAACCCCAGGGCUCAACACUCCAUCAGGGCACCUCUGAGAGGAUGAAUCAAGGACUUCAAUUCGGACAAGAUCUGAGGAAGGAACGUUUAGACUCCGAACCUGGUUCUAAUUUGGAAAUAAGAGGACAGUUGCAGCUAGAAUUUUCCAGUUGAAAACAUUUAUACAAGAUGUGAAGAAAAGGGAGACAGGGCUAGGGAUUUAGCUCAGUGGCACAGCGCCUGCCUGGCAAGCUUGAGGUCAUAAGUUCAAUUCCUGGUACCGGAAAAAAAAAACCAAAAAAAAAAAAAAGAAAAGGGAGCCAGCCGCACGCGGACAGCGGGAGGUGCCUGUGGAUUUACUACCUGAUGGCGUCGGAGCCAUGGGCAGGAUCAGGCUCAGCUCGCAAAAGGGGGGCUGUCUUUGCUUCCGGAAAACCUGUCUCCUUCAGACUUCCUGGAGCCUCCCUUCCCUGGCACUCACCUGCUGCUAAAUCGCUUUCUGGGUCCCGGGAGUCCAAAGAGAAGCAGCUUCAGGAACCAGGAAGCAGCGGAGAGAUUUCCCUCUUCUCACCUUGAAAUGAUAUGGUGGGGCUGUCCGGGGGAAGGCCCUGGCCAGAGGAAAGACGGGCCACAGCGGCAGAGUAAGGGGCUGCCCGCCAGGGCCCGGCCAGAAAAUACAGUCGCAGGAAGAAGACAGGAUUCGGGCAGCCUUGGGGUGGGAUGGGCGCAGGCACUCCAGAGUUUGCGUCUUUCUUUUCUUCUCUUUCCUAGCAGGCACUGCUAUGGGGCUUACAACUGCUACUGGGCAAGGGAGGCCAGAACUGCGGUCCUCUCUGCCUGCGUAGGGGCAUCGCUGUGCUUUUGCUGUUCAGCCUGCUUCCAGAGAGGUUCUCUGGAGGGAUGGAGGUGGAAGAGAGGGACAAGCUGUCCGGUCAGAGGACGCAGACGCGAGCACAAGCAGGGCGGGAAGCAGAGUGUGUGCCCUACCCUUGUGGAGAGAGCCGCCUGCUGAGCUAGAGAUCUGGAAGCUGUUUCUCUGGCCAGUGCCUCAUUUCCCAAGAGAAGUAAAGGAAGCCAGUGGAAGUUAAAGGUCAAAAGCGUCUGUUCGGGGAGGUGGAGGUUUGGAGGACGCAGCUCUGUGAAUGACCCGUCCACUCACCCCGGACUCUGCGAGGGUGGGAAGGUGGGCACUGGGUAAGGCAAGUGGUGGAUGAGGGGAGGAGGGCGCUGGAUGACCAGCUUCCUGAGUCAGUCUUUGCCAGGGGUCCUAACUCGUGUGAGUGUCUAACAUGAGGCUUCACAACCAGCGGCGUGCUGUAGCUGACACCGCGUAAACCCAGAGACGCAAGAAAAAAAUGUGACUUCUUCUGCUGCGACUAAUCUGGCUUAGCCAUUAAACUCUUGUUUUCACUGAUGACGGGGGCAUGGGGAAGGAUGGGGAUACCAAUUUAAGUCUGCCAAAUAUUGCUAUGUCUGCUUCAUUUCCUUUUCAAAGGGUCUCUUUUGGAGAGCGCCCUGUGGGAUUCCAUUUAUGUGAACGUCUAGUACAGGCAGAAGUGAACUGAUGGUGACGGUGGUCAGAACUGGGGCUGCCUCUGAGGGUGAUAGUGUGGGAGGGGCAGGAAGGAACCUUCUGGGGUGCAGGGGACGCAGCAGUCUUGACCUGGAGGGCAGGUGCUGGAGUGGUGCAUAGUUAAAGCUCAAUGACUUGAACACAGGACCUGUCCACUUUGCACCUAUUUGCACAUAUUACCACUUAAUUUAAGCCUUAAUGUAAAAAUCAACAAAAAGAAAAACAGUUAAAGGUCUCUCGGAGGUGACUAUCCGGUCCACAUGAAGCUCAAUGCUUCUUCUCGGGGCCCUCUCCCUGCUUUCCAGGAGUCUCCGGAAGUGGAGCUUAGGGUGCAGCCCCUUCCUGUCUCCUUGCGUAGCAUUGGGUAAGUGUCUUCCAAAGCGCCAUGUGUGUAGGGCUUAGUCCUCAGCAUGGCACAUGGGGAGAUGUGGAAACUUUAAGAGAUGGCACCUAUGCAGUGGUGCCACUGGGAACAUGACCUUGGUAUAGGGCAUAGUGAGACCCUCUCCCUCCCAUCCUUUCUUCCUGGCCCCUGUGAAGUGAGGAGCUUUGCUCCACCAUGUGUCCUUACCAUGGGUCCAAAGCAACAGCACCAGUCCACCAUGGACUGACACCUCCAAAACUGUAAGCCAAAAUCAACCCUUUCCCUUUAUAAAUUACCUCAGUAGUUGGAAAUAAAAGAAAGCUUACUAACAUACUCCUAACCAGAUUGUCUGGUCCCACCCGAGUCCUAUAUAGAAAUUCUGCAAGCAUCACUGUUGAAAAGUACCUAGAAUACUGUUACGGUCUGGGUCGGGAGGGUCCCCCAAAGGGUUGCGCUGUGAAAGUUUGGCAGGACUCUUAGAAGACGGCUACAGCACAAGAGCUCCACUUUCAGCAGCUGACUAACGCUUUGAUGGACUCGUAAGUUGAUGGCAUCGUUAGGAAGUGGUGGACACUUGAGAGGUGGAGCCUUGUUGAAGGGAGAGGGUUACGGGGGUGUGCCUGGGGGAGAAGAUUUUGUCCUUAUUCCCUUCCUCCUGGGCUCUCUCUCUUUCCACUUCCCGGCUGUCACAAGUGAGAAGCUCUGCUCUGUCAGGCCCUCCCACCACAUGUUUUUGCCUCACCACAGAUCUAAAAGCAAUAGAAUCAGCUGACCCAGGACUUCUGAAACCAUGAGCACAGCUGUGACAUUCACCGUUUGGGAGUACACGUGGCACUCACAUCAUCGUCUCUUUAAAAUCACGCAAAACACACAACUGUGGCCUGGAACAGGAGGCUGGUGCUGAGCAGCGGCUGGGCCUUGGAGUGACGGGCAGUCCUGGCGGGUGAGCCUCAGAGUGCACGCUGUGUCCCAGCAAGGGUCCGCAGACCUGGAAUGUUCCAGAAGGGACUGGUGGGCCAGGAGGACUGACUUGCCACGGGGUUUUCAUGGGUUCCACAGGGGGCGGCCAUCUUUGUUCCGUAUGGAGUCUGCCUUAGCCCUGUACUCAUGGGGUGCUCUCAGAAGGGCCAAUGAUCAGUCUGUUAGCCUCUCGUUAGCCCCUAAAGGAAUUUGUAUGAGGCAAGGAGGUGAAGGAAGAAGCCCCAUUAAAAUACAAAACACGCUUGGGCCAGUGGACUAGAAUAGAGGACCCAGAAAUAAACCCAUGCAGCUACCGCCAUCUGGUUCUUGACAAAAGUGCCAAAACGUAUAUUGGAAGAAGACAGCCUCUUCCCCAGAUGGUGCUGGGAAACUACGCAUCCACACAUAGAAGGUUAAGAUGAGAUCUCUCUCUUUCCCAUCUCUCUUUCCCAUCUCUCUUUCCACGAAUUCACCUCAAAAUGGACCAAAGGCCUACAUAUAAGACCUGAAACUCCGAAGCUGCUAGGAAAAAACAUAAGGAAAACACUUCAAGAUAUACGCACAGGCAGUGACUUCCUGAAUUGGACUCCAGUAGCUCAAGAAAUGAUAGCAAGCAUCUAUAAAUGGGAUUGCACCAAAGUAAAAACUUCUGCACAGCAAAGGAAGCACAAAGAAGGAAGGGACAGCCCGGAGGUUAGGA